Molecule: long non-coding RNA, 142 nt
Organism: Amblyraja radiata (thorny skate)
Lineage: Eukaryota; Metazoa; Chordata; Chondrichthyes; Rajiformes; Rajidae
Exons: 3
Source: RefSeq, a predicted model, not a curated record
GCAUGGAUGGAUCUGAUGAAAUUGGAACCCCUGGACCUAAAGGGCGAGAGGGACCACGAGGAUACCCUGGUUUUCCUGGUCAGCUGGGACCAAAUGGUAUCACUGGAACCUCUGGUGUUGGGGGACGUAAUGGUUCAAGAGG